CACGUGGGAGGAUGUAAGUCGCUCUGAAUAAGAGCGUCUGCUAAAUGACUAAAA
This is a non-coding RNA of Salmo salar (Atlantic salmon), 54 nucleotides long. Lineage: Eukaryota; Metazoa; Chordata; Actinopteri; Salmoniformes; Salmonidae. The record is from Rfam.